GCAGUAGCCACGGUAAUACAGAGGGUGCGAGCGUUAAUCGGAUUUACUGGGCGUAAAGCGUGCGUAGGCGGCUUUUUAAGUCGGAUGUGAAAUCCCUGAGCUUAACUUAAGAAUUGCAUUCGAUACUGGGAAGCUAGAGUAUGGGAGAGGAUGGUAGAAUUCCAGGUGUAGCGGUGAAAUGCGUAGAGAUCUGGAGGAAUACCGAUGGCGAAGGCAGCCAUCUGGCCUAAUACUGACGCUGAGGUACGAAAGCAUGGGGAGCAAACAGGAUUAGAUACCCCGUAGUCCCUGUCUCUUAUACA
This 302-nucleotide ribosomal RNA is filed under the name uncultured bacterium. RNAcentral describes it as "partial 16S ribosomal RNA". It matches the Rfam family "Bacterial small subunit ribosomal RNA", at positions 508 to 808 of the family's 1533-position model. The record is from RNAcentral.